AAAGUCGUAACAAGGUUUCCGUAGGUGAACCUGCGGAAGGAUCAUUAAUGAAACGCUCGAAGCGGGGGUCGAUGCUGGUCUCGCGAGGGACAUCGUGCGCGCCCCUAUCUUCUCUUUCAUUCAUCUACCCCUAUCUGUGCACCCUAUGUGGGCCGAGACAUUCGGCCUGCGCAUUUCUAUACACUCCGUUAAACGUUCAAUGAAUGAAUCAUUCGAGCUUCGUCUCGAUAUAAUCUAAUACAACUUUCAACAACGGAUCUCUUGGUUCUG
RNAcentral lists this unclassified non-coding RNA (270 nucleotides) under Basidiomycota sp. RNAcentral describes it as "partial contains small subunit ribosomal RNA, internal transcribed spacer 1, and 5.8S ribosomal RNA". The stretch from base 1 to 47 matches the Rfam family "Eukaryotic small subunit ribosomal RNA", at positions 1785 to 1831 of the family's 1831-position model. Lineage: Eukaryota; Fungi; Basidiomycota. The record is from RNAcentral.